This 199-nucleotide ribosomal RNA is filed under the name uncultured bacterium. RNAcentral's name for it is "partial 16S ribosomal RNA". It matches the Rfam family "Bacterial small subunit ribosomal RNA", at positions 328 to 539 of the family's 1533-position model. The record is from RNAcentral.
ACGCUCGACACCUACGGGGGGCAGCAGUGGGGAAUAUUGCACAAUGGGGGAAACCCUGAUGCAGCGACGCCGCGUGAGCGAAGAAGUAUUUCGGUAUGUAAAGCUCUAUCAGCAGGGAAGAAACUGACGGUACCUGACUAAGAAGCACCGGCUAAAUACGUGCCAGCAGCCGUGGUAAUCUGAGGCGGGCUGGCAAGGC